RNAcentral lists this long non-coding RNA (705 nucleotides) under Equus caballus (horse). Its description in RNAcentral is "lncRNA (ENSECAG00000041768.2)". The record is from RNAcentral. Lineage: Eukaryota; Metazoa; Chordata; Mammalia; Perissodactyla; Equidae.
UCGCUUAGGAAGAGAGUGAAGAUGGGGAGAGGCCGCUGCUCGGAGCUCGGAGACGCACACGUCCUCCACCGCGACACCGCGACACAGGGAAAGGAGCGUCCUCCACCGCGACACAGUGACACAGGGAAAGGAGCGUGCGGGGCGGUGGCAGAGCUGGCGCGGUGCUUCAAGGAAGCGCUUCCUUCUUCUCCGUGAAGACAGAGCAUUUGCUGAGAGGACAGACGUGGGACAAGGGCUGGCAGCCCUGGCACUGAACCCCUUUCCUGAUCCCACAGGUCGCGCCCCAUUUGCCUGGUGCCACCAGGGGUGCUGGGAGUUGAGAGGACGUGUCCAGCCCACCUCCCUGUCGCUGCUUGGCGUCACCUUUCACUCAUUCAAAUGGUUUUUAGUGCCUUGAUCACAGAAGCCACCUUAAACCCACUUCGGAAGUAGGUAGGGCAUCAAUCUGUCAGUCAAUCAACAAACAGCCUUGAAGAGUAGCUCAGUUACCAGUUACCCUCCCUUGUCCCAGGAGCCUCCUCCGGCGAGCUCUCCUCCUCCUCCCCGCUCCCCACUCCUGGGUAGACCAGUGCCCCACGGGUGGAAGCCACGAGAAGGCCAGGGUCCUGUGCAUACAUCUGUGAUUGCUCCUGUCACGUUUUGUGGCUUUAUGCCUCCCAGUGACCCCUGCUCCUCGAAGGGGACCAGCCUGACUUUGAAUCACCC